CAGAACCUGAAAACAUAGAUGCUUACUGAUUUGAACCAAAACGUCAAAAUAUUCAGCAGUCCAAAAUCAUAUGACAGCCUUACAAAAAAAAUAUAAGACAAGAGCUAACGAUCAUCACUAAAUUAUGAAUCCAGACUUUAUACCUGUUGACAAACCAAUCAAAAAUAAAAGAGGGAUCCAAAGCUAUUCUUUACCACAUGCUAACCCUGGCACUAACAUAUAAUCUUUAACAAUGCUAACACUAGGUAAUUCCCAUAGCCAAUUAACCCUGCUCAAAUUGAGUGAACUAGCUAUAGAGUUUUAACAACCACCAUUAACAUGAUGCUCAAAUUACCAAUCCUUGAAUAUAAAAAAAAGUACAGAAAUCAACUACAUGACCCAAACAAAUGACCAGUUCAUGAAAUAGCAUUAGCCUAAGUCCCGACACCUAUGAAAUCCCUCCUGAAUCAUUGCUCAUUCACAAAUCUCACACUAACCAAGAGCUGAAAGGAAAUAAACUAAAGAUUUGACAUAGAAUUUAAGAAAAAGGAAGAAAACAUAUAUGGAAAGUACUGAAAGCCUUCAAUUCAUUCAUCCAAAUUCUCACUACAACUACAAUACAUCAAAAUGCUCUUAUACUUCAGCAGUUAUCAAAAUCCGAGAAAAGUACCUGAAAAGCCAAAAGUAAAGUGAGGUGAGAAUAUAAAAGUUCAGUGAAGCAAAGUAAACAAGGAAAGCAGCAACAACCAAUCAACAAACAGCUUCAGCUCAUGUUUAAAUCCAGAGAUUAGGUACUCAAUGAAAUUCUUUCAAAAUUCCUCCUCAAGAGAAGAAAAACCCAAAAAAAACAGCCAGCUACAUCUACUCAAUCAGCUUUCAUGUUUUGAAACCAGAAAAUGUCAGCGAUUCACUCUAGCUUUUGAGAAUCCAAGAGAUAUCAACAGAUUAGAUGCAUUAGCCCAGUAUUUUGAUGAUUUUUCUUCUAAUUUCAGGCUCUUAUCAGUAUGUAUAUUCUCAGUCGUUUGCUCAAUUUCUUAGUAUCUGAUCUCUGCUUAAUUCUACUUAAGGCCAGCUUUAUAUAGGUGGCUUUAAGGCAACAUAACAUAGUUUCAACAUUUAACAAAUACCCCUUCCCCAAUUUUUAGUAAUUCCCUUCAGACCCUUUUCUCUACACUAUUCAGUAGUUCACUCCAAAUCCCACCUUCCUAGAAGCUUCCUAAUUAGUUAUGCAAGAUUCCCCUUACCCAAUCUCCCUAAACUUUCCCUAAGAUGGCUACUAUUUACUCUGAGAAUUAAACCAACAGAAAUGAACACUUGGGCCAUACGGCCCACAAACCUGUUAUCCUUUUGGUUAUUUGCAAUGGGCUUACUGACUAGGAAACAAUCUGAGGGGGAAGCAAAUGAAUUAAUAUUUUGAAAGACAAAAAUUGCAACUAUAUUUUUUCAUGCCCUUUCUGAACCAUAACAGAAGAGUCAACUCGCUUAACUGACUUAAUUAAAUCUUCCUUUUUAUUCUUUCAAACAAAAAUUCCUUGAUCAACAAUACUAACCACGCUUCUAUUUAACUGGGAGCAUUACUUAGCAAAAAGAAAGGGACAAAUAGACGACUCGACUGAGAAAGGAACAAAACAAAAAUGAAAAUAGAAUAAAAGAAAAUUGAGAAGAAAAACUAGUCGCUGCUGGUCCAAACUCUGAUGAACGGGACUCUUGGUCAAUAAUGAAAAUUGCAACACAAGCACUAGCCGGAAAAUUUUCAAAUGGCUAGUGCUUUAUGUCAUAAUUUUUGUCAUUUGCCAAAAAGAAAAGAAAGGUGGACGAAACCUUCGACUCUUCAGGCAGCCGGCGAGGCACAACUCCAGCAACAUCCUCUUAUCGAGGGUUCGAUGUCAAACAUGGCCAUCUUUUGGGGAAAAUCAGAGAAAGGAGAGGAAAGAGAAAAAAGAAAUGGUACAAGGUUGGAUUCUCGGCAAACUUGGAUUUAAGAUUCGGACAGAUUGGGUAGUCUUUGGAUAAAACUAAUGGUGUAUUCGGAACGGGGAGACAACAGGGGUUAUAUGGUCAAGAUUUGGCGGAGUUUGGAUAUCCGCCGCCACCGGUGAAGAAUUCCGGUGGGUGGUGGGCGGCGGUGAAAAUAAAGAGGCGAAAGAGAAGAUGAAACAUGUGUCUUAGGUUACUCAAGUCUUU
This 2163-nucleotide long non-coding RNA is filed under the name Nicotiana tabacum (common tobacco). RNAcentral describes it as "long non-coding RNA (NTAB_LNC012590)". The record is from RNAcentral. Lineage: Eukaryota; Viridiplantae; Streptophyta; Magnoliopsida; Solanales; Solanaceae.